Molecule: long non-coding RNA, 609 nt
Filed under: Mytilus galloprovincialis (Mediterranean mussel)
Lineage: Eukaryota; Metazoa; Mollusca; Bivalvia; Mytilida; Mytilidae
Source: RNAcentral
CAUAAACUUAAAAGAUAAAUGAGAAUGAAAAUAACCGAAAUAAUCGUAUACAUGUACUGUUCAUUCUUAGAUACAUAUAGGAACUUUCCGAAGAUGUGGUAUGAGUGCCAAUGAGACAACUCUCCAUACAAGAACAUGUUUAGAACAAUAAUAUAUAGAAUUAUUUAGUAUAUGGAUAUAAGAAAGGGUACUCCAUUAUGGCACAAAAAAAAACAAACCAACCUCAAUAAAUCUGAAAAAAAAUUCAGAACAAAUUCUUAUCAAUAUUCAACAAUGAGCAAAACCCACACAGCAAAAUCAACUAUAGAUGGCUCCAAUAUGACAGAUGUAUAUCAAUUUAAACUUGAAGCUAACGACCAGAUUUAUGUUAAAACAAUAAACAAAGUACAAAUAUGAAACACAGUAACGAACGACUACCACUGACUUACAGGCUCCUGAUUUGGCACAGGCACAGGCACAGGGAGCUCAACGCUCAUCUAACCAGAGACAGAGGUGUGAGAGGUCAUCAUAUUAAUUCACAUUGAAAAUAAGUUGAAAAUUAAUUAACUUAUCAGAGUGAUGCAAAGCAGAUAAAAGACCAGACGUUGCAGGUUAUUUGUACAUUCCAAC